CGUGUUCCUGGCGGGCGGAAGUGUCAUGUGCUCGGCACCCUGCGGGGUGGUCCUGGGCUGAGGGAGGCGGCGGGUCGUCUACCCGGGCGGGGAUGACUGGGCCCUGCGAGGAUGAAUUCAAUGUUGUGGGGAUCCAGGGCCAACUUGGCUAGGACCAAGCAUUUGCAGCUGCAGAGCACCUGCCAGCAUCCUGGGAAAGAGGAUGGAUGCCAUGACAGUUCUGAUCGAGACCAUCUAAGGGGAAAAACUCCCCCUCCCGACGUGAGGGAAGAGGCAACAAGCCAAUUGGACAACCCUCUGUAAUCCCCUUCAUAGCCUAUAUAACCCACAGAUUACUCAAACCUCAGGGACAGUUGCUCACCUUGGGCCUGCCCGCUCCCUCUCUCCAAGUGUCUUUUGCUUUGUGAGUAAACUCCUGCUUGAAACUUUCUUGCUUGUGUUCUUUCACAAAUUCCUUUGCAACGCCAAACAAGAACCUGGAAAAUCCAGCCAGCCACCCGGUAACACUUCUAGAUUCCACUUGCAGCUACCCAUGUCUGCCUGCUGGAGGAGGAGAGACCCGCGUUUGAGACCCCGCUCUGCCGCUGGCGGGAUGGCCUCCGCAGGUCCCCGGCCUCUGUGCACUGCCGCUUCCUUCCAGCCCUUUGUUUUGGGAGCCUGCUGGCAGGUGACAUUGCUGGCGGGGAGCAAGUGUUGAUGGUUCCCCUUUUCUCUCCAUCAGCAGAGACGGAACAGUAGAAGAGAGGAUGUCUAGGUUUUUAAUCCCUUCCUUGUUUAUGCUUCAGGAUUAGUUUCGGGGAUGCACGAUGGGUGUAGGGUGAGGAAUUGAUGCUCCAGUCAG
Diceros bicornis minor is the source of this 841-nucleotide long non-coding RNA. RefSeq lists it as uncharacterized. Lineage: Eukaryota; Metazoa; Chordata; Mammalia; Perissodactyla; Rhinocerotidae. The record is from RefSeq and is a predicted model, not a curated record. The transcript is spliced from 3 exons.